CAGGGCGUUUGGCAUUUGACAUACCCAGGGCCGCUCUGGAACAUCACGUUCAUUGUGGAUUACCAGCCUGUCAAAUUGCAGCGAUGCUCGGAGUGUCAAAGAGGACCAUCAGGAGGCGCAUGCAACAAUACGGUUUAAGAAAGACAGACCUGUAUUCAGCUGUGAAUGAUGAGGAGUUGGACUGUAUUGUAAGUGAAGUCCACAGAAGACAUCCAAACACCGGCUACAAGCUAAUACGUGGUCAUCUUGAAUGCAAGAGGUGUGCGUGUUCCAAUCUCAAGACUGCAAGAGUCUUUACGCAGAGUUGAUGCAGAGGGAGUCUACAUGAGGCGUCUAAGACUGCGUGUAUUAAGACGACGGCAGUAUUCUGUCCUGGCCCAAACUCUUUAUGGCAUAUAGAUGGCAAUCAUAAGCUCAUCAGAUGGAGAUUUGUUGUCCAUGGUGGGGUGGAUGGAUUCAGUCGUUUAGUCGUCUACCUGACUGUGGCUGGCAAUAACAGAGCUAGUACGGUCUUACAGAGCUUUAUCGCUGCUGUUGAGCAGUACGGGCUGCCAUCAAGGGUACGGUCUGAUAAAGGGGGCGAGAAUGCAGAUGUAGCAGAAUUCAUGAUCGGGAGCAGAGGUACC
Dunckerocampus dactyliophorus (ringed pipefish) is the source of this 626-nucleotide long non-coding RNA. RefSeq lists it as uncharacterized. The transcript is spliced from 4 exons. Lineage: Eukaryota; Metazoa; Chordata; Actinopteri; Syngnathiformes; Syngnathidae. The record is from RefSeq and is a predicted model, not a curated record.